AGCAAGCGCACGAAGGCGUACACAGCUGCCGAGAACAAGCUUCUUUGCGAGUGUUGGCGAGACAUUGGACAAGACCCAAAGACGGGCGCCGAGCAAAAGCAUUCGACCUUUUGGACUCGUGUGCACCAAGAGUUUCAUGAGCGCAAGAAGUUUCCACCUUACCAAUUUGUCAGCAUGCGCGGGUGGGUCUCCAUUUCCAAGCGGUGGAGGAUGAUCCAACAAGAGUGCAACAAGUUUUGCGCCACCCUUGAGAGCGUCAAGGCCCGCCCCGUGAGCGGCAUCGGCAUGCAAUACAUGGUAUGA
This 303-nucleotide ribosomal RNA is filed under the name Triticum aestivum (bread wheat). RNAcentral describes it as "partial small subunit ribosomal RNA". Lineage: Eukaryota; Viridiplantae; Streptophyta; Magnoliopsida; Poales; Poaceae. The record is from RNAcentral.